UCCUCCGUUGGGCUCCCAGAUCCAUCUCAAAUCUCUCAUUUUUUUUCUUUCUUUUUUUUUUUUUUUUCCUUUUCCUUUGCUUUCUAUUUUUCUUUCUUCAAAUCCUCGCAGAUCUCCCUUUUUUUCCUUUUGCUUUUGGCUCUAUUUCCAUCUCAAAUCCCUUGCCAUCUCUAUUUUUUUUUUCUUUUUUCUCUCUAUUUCUUUUUCUUUUAUUGAACAAAUCUUACACCCUUUUUUUUUAAAUUGUUGCAGGUUUUGAUUGAAGAAAAACAAGAGCGGAAAACUUACAGACCAAAAACUCUAUAAAGAUAAGUGUUCCUUCUUAUUCUUUUGAUUUCUCCUUUUUCCUUUUUUUUUCUUUCAGUUUUCUUACACUUUAUGGAAUAAAAUCUGUGCAACUUUAUUAUAUUGGCCCGAACAAAAUGGGUGCCUACAUGCCCAGUGAAUAAUCUUAACUAAAAUAGAAUCCCUUGAUUUUAUUGCAAUUGACUUUUAAUUCUUUCCUUCUGUUCAUGCGAGCUUCAUUUAAAACAUUCUGGAGUCAACUUCCAUAGGCGAUCUGCAUUUGUGGUGCAGUAAACCGGGGCACAUUAGGAGGAACUGUCAUGAACCAUUGCCUAUUGCACCUAUACCAAACCAGAUCAGGGGAAAUCAGUGAGUACCCCGAGGUGGAGGUGGUCCAACACGAGUGUACUUGAUGAUCCCAAUUGAGACAGAUAUUGCCAAGGGCGCAGGACCGCCACGUGAUCGAACUUAGAGAGCUCGGGGCUGUUGUAGUGUUUUUUAGGGAGAGGGUAUAGACUUUUGGAUGUGUAUAUUUUUGGGUUUGUUUAUGUUUUCUGAGAUGUAUGAUUCUG
Molecule: long non-coding RNA, 857 nt
Organism: Malania oleifera
Lineage: Eukaryota; Viridiplantae; Streptophyta; Magnoliopsida; Santalales; Ximeniaceae
Exons: 3
Source: RefSeq, a predicted model, not a curated record